Bos taurus (domestic cattle) is the source of this 72-nucleotide non-coding RNA. NCBI's taxonomy places the organism in Eukaryota, Metazoa, Chordata, Mammalia, Artiodactyla, Bovidae. The record is from Rfam.
UCCCUGCUGGCUCAGAUGGUAAAGCAUCUGCCUACAGUGUGGAAGACCCAGGUUCGAUCCAUGGGUUGGGAA